AGAUAACGCUGGCGGCGCACAUAAGACAUGCAAGUCGAACGGACAGAAGCCUUAGUUUACUAUGGUGGAAGUUAGUGGCGGACUGGUGAGUAACACGUAAGCAAUCUGCCUAUCAGAGGGGAACAACAGUUAGAAAUGACUGCUAAUACCGCAUAUGCCUAAGUAACACAUGUUACAAUAGGGAAAGGAGCAAUCCGCUGAUAGAUGAGCUUGCGUCUGAUUAGAUAGUUGGUGGGGUAACGGCCUACCAAGUCGACGAUCAGUAGCCGGACUGAGAGGUUGAACGGCCACAUUGGGACUGAGAUACGGCCCAGACUCCUACGGGAGGCAGCAGUCGGGAAUAUUGCGCAAUGGAGGAAACUCUGACGCAGUGACGCCGCGUGCAGGAAGAAGGUUUUCGGAUUGUAAACUGCUUUAGACAGGGAAGAAACAAGACAGUACCUGUAGAAUAAGCUCCGGCUAACUACGUG
Molecule: ribosomal RNA, 470 nt
Filed under: uncultured bacterium
Lineage: Bacteria
Description: bacterial SSU rRNA
Rfam family: Bacterial small subunit ribosomal RNA
Source: RNAcentral